This 253-nucleotide ribosomal RNA is filed under the name uncultured bacterium. RNAcentral's name for it is "partial 16S ribosomal RNA". It matches the Rfam family "Bacterial small subunit ribosomal RNA", at positions 524 to 776 of the family's 1533-position model. The record is from RNAcentral.
UACGAAGGGGGCUAGCGUUGCUCGGAAUCACUGGGCGUAAAGCGCACGUAGGCGGCUUUUUAAGUCGGUGGUGAAAUCCUGGAGCUCAACUCCAGAACUGCCUACGAUACUGAAAGGCUCGAGUCCGGGAGAGGUGAGUGGAACUGCGAGUGUAGAGGUGAAAUUCGUAGAUAUUCGCAAGAACACCAGUGGCGAAGGCGGCUCACUGGCCAGGUACUGACGCUGAGGUGCGAAAGCGUGGGGAGCAAACAGG